GGUUGAUCCUGCCGGACCUGACUGCUAUCGUAUUGGUACUAAGCCAUGCGAGUCGUUGUACAAUACAAGGCGGACGGCUCAGUAACACGUAGUCAACCUAACUCGUGGACGUGGAUAACCUCGGGAAACUGAGAAUAAACCACGAUAGAUCAUUAUGCCUGGAAUGGCUUAUGGUCCAAAUAGUUUACUGCCAUGGGAUGGGACUGCGGCCUAUCAGCUUGUUGGUGAGGUAAUGGCCCACCAAGGCUAUAACAGGUACGGGCUCUGAGAGGAGAAGCCCGGAGAUGGGUACUGAGACACGGACCCAGGCCCUAUGGGGCGCAGCAGGCGAGAAACCUUAGCAAUGUGCGAAAGCACGACUGGGUCAGUCCGAGUGAUUCCUGAUAAAGGAGUCUUUUGCUUGUCCUAAAAGCACAGGUGAAUAAGGGGUGGGCAAGUCUGGUGUCAGCCGCCGCGGUAAUACCAGCACCUCGAGUGGUCAGGACGUUUAUUGGGCCUAAAGCAUCCGUAGCCGGCUCUGCAAGUCUUCGGUUAAAUCCACCUGCUCAACAGAUGGGCCGCUGGAGAUACUACAGAGCUAGGGAGUGGGAGAGGCAGACGGUAUUCAGUGGGUAGGGGU
RNAcentral lists this ribosomal RNA (619 nucleotides) under uncultured archaeon. RNAcentral describes it as "bacterial SSU rRNA". It matches the Rfam family "Archaeal small subunit ribosomal RNA", at positions 6 to 633 of the family's 1478-position model. The record is from RNAcentral.